UAGAGUUUGAUCAUGGCUCAGAACGAACGCUGGCGGCAGGCCUAACACAUGCAAGUCGAACGCCCCGCAAGGGGAGUGGCAGACGGGUGAGUAACGCGUGGGAACCUACCUAGAGGUGCGGAAUAGCCCAGGGAAACUUGGAGUAAUACCGCUAUCCCGCAGGGGAAAGAUUUAUCCUUUAAGACUUC
This 188-nucleotide ribosomal RNA is filed under the name uncultured beta proteobacterium. RNAcentral's name for it is "partial 16S ribosomal RNA". It matches the Rfam family "Bacterial small subunit ribosomal RNA", at positions 1 to 211 of the family's 1533-position model. Lineage: Bacteria; Pseudomonadati; Pseudomonadota; Betaproteobacteria. The record is from RNAcentral.